AAAUAAGUAGCAAUACUUAUGAGAGUGGCGCACGGGUGAGUAACGCGUAUGCAACCUACCUAUAACUGGGGGAUAGCUCAGAGAAAUCUGAAUUAAUACCGCAUAACAUUAUUGAAUGGCAUCAUUUGAUAAUCAAAACUCCGGUGGUUAUAGAUGGGCAUGCGUGACAUUAGCUAGUUGGUAAGGUAACGGCUUACCAAGGCUACGAUGUCUAGGGGGUCUGAGAGGAUGAUCCCCCACACUGGUACUGAGACACGGACCAGACUCCUACGGGAGGCAGCAGUAAGGAAUAUUGGUCAAUGGACGAAAGUCUGAACCAGCCAUGCCGCGUGAAGGAUGACGGCCCUAUGGGUUGUAAACUUCUUUUAUACGGGAAGAAACCCUGAUACGUGUAUCAGGUUGACGGUACUGUAAGAAUAAGGACCGGCUAACUUCGUGCCAGCAGCCGCGGUAAUACGAAGGGUCCAAGCGUUAUCCGGAUUUAUUGGGUUUAAAGGGUGCGUAGGCGGCUUAUUAAGUCAGUGGUGAAAGACUUCAGCUUAACUGAAGAACUGCCAUUGAUACUGAUGAGCUUG
This 575-nucleotide ribosomal RNA is filed under the name uncultured Bacteroidota bacterium. Its description in RNAcentral is "bacterial SSU rRNA". It matches the Rfam family "Bacterial small subunit ribosomal RNA", at positions 70 to 644 of the family's 1533-position model. The record is from RNAcentral. Lineage: Bacteria; Pseudomonadati; Bacteroidota.